ACUACAACUAUAGGUUCUAUCGAUUGAAGCUUAAGGAUAUCGAUUUGAAGAAGCUUGGAACUCUUUCUCAAAGUCUUGGUGUAGGUGGAAGGUGAGAAGGUGCCUUGAAGCAACGAUGGGAAUCUAGUUAUUGUUAAAUAAAAGUUGAAGUAUAUCCUCACUUGACUAGAGGUCAUAAUCUUCUUUAGAUUUAUUUUGAUUGAAAGUAUUGUAAUAGAGUAAGUAUUUCUACGUUCAUAUUGUAUGGGACGUGUCCCAAGUAUUCUUGAGUCUAAGAUUGACAUAUGUUGAGACUUA
This is a non-coding RNA of Solanum lycopersicum (tomato), 297 nucleotides long. The record is from RefSeq and is a predicted model, not a curated record. NCBI's taxonomy places the organism in Eukaryota, Viridiplantae, Streptophyta, Magnoliopsida, Solanales, Solanaceae.